This is a long non-coding RNA of Protobothrops mucrosquamatus (brown spotted pit viper), 712 nucleotides long. RefSeq lists it as uncharacterized. Lineage: Eukaryota; Metazoa; Chordata; Lepidosauria; Squamata; Viperidae. The transcript is spliced from 3 exons. The record is from RefSeq and is a predicted model, not a curated record.
AAAAUUGUUGGAAUUAUCAUUUUACUUUCUUUCAGACUGCUCACCAUUCAGAAUAGGUUUCAUUGAGCCUAGUGGUAUAGAAGGUUUGUACUUAUAUAUAUAGUUUCCCAGAAAAUCAAUAUAAGCAUAUCACAUUUGGGUCAGUUUACAGUGAUAAGUUUUGCUUCAAAACACAUCAAGAUACAGAAGGUUUCUUUAAGUUUUUCAUUCAUUAGAGCUAAAUGAAGACUAUUAUCAGAUCCAUACCACUUGGAUUUAUUCAAUUGAUUGAUUGAUUCAAUACCCUGCCUUUGUGUUCUAAUAAAUAUAGUAUCUAGUAAAAUUAAAACAAACGAAUCACACCAGAACAGGUGGGAGUGUGAGUUAUGUCUUCCAUCAGAACUGAAAAUUUGUCUAAUGCAAUUGUAUGACAAGAAAUUUGCAAAGAAAAAUGCAUGAAGUCAGCUAGCAGAAAUGUUGCAUGUUCUAAAGAAGGUGGGAAAUACAGUGAGAGCUAUCAUCAAUGGAAAUAUUUUAAUUCCUUUGCUUUUGAUCCAACCGCAGAAGAUUAUAGCUACAAAAUAACUUGAUGGAGUCCCAGUCAUUUGCUAAAGAGCGUUUUAAUGACAGGAAAUAAAAGUGAAAUAAUUGCUUCACUCAUAAACAUUAUAUAUUGCUUUUCAUUGAAGCAUGACUAUCAAAGUCCUGCACUAUUGUACGAUUUGUGUGUGUG